GUUGAACGCUGGCGGCAGGCUUAACACAUGCAAGUCGCACGAUGAUUAUCUAGCUUGCUAGAUAUGAUUAGUGGCGGACGGGUGAGUAACAUUUAGGAAUCUGCCUAGUAGUAGGGGAUAGAUCGGGGAAACUCGAAUUAAUACCGCAUACGAACUACGGGUGAAAGGGGGAGAAAGCUCUUGCUAUUAGCUGAGCCUAAAUCAGAUUAGCUAGUUGGUGGGGUAAAGGCCCACCAAGGCGACGAUCUGUAACUGGUCUGAGAGGAGGAUCAGUCACACCGGAACUGAGACACGGUCCGGACUCCUACGGGAGGCAGCAGUGGUGAAUAUUGGACAAUGGGGGCAACCCUGAUCCAGCCAUGCCGCGUGUGUGAAGAAGGCCUUUUGGUUGUAAAGCACUUUAAGCAGGGAGGAGAGGCUAAUGAUUAAUACCCAUUAGAUUAGACGUUACCUGCAGAAUAAGCACCGGCUAACUCUGUGCCAGCCGCCGCCGUAA
This 496-nucleotide ribosomal RNA is filed under the name uncultured bacterium. Its description in RNAcentral is "partial 16S ribosomal RNA". It matches the Rfam family "Bacterial small subunit ribosomal RNA", at positions 28 to 523 of the family's 1533-position model. The record is from RNAcentral.